RNAcentral lists this ribosomal RNA (378 nucleotides) under uncultured eukaryote. Its description in RNAcentral is "partial 18S ribosomal RNA". It matches the Rfam family "Eukaryotic small subunit ribosomal RNA", at positions 592 to 976 of the family's 1831-position model. The record is from RNAcentral.
CAAUAGCGUAUAUUUAAGUUGUUGCAGUUAAAAAGCUCGUAGUUGGAUUUCGGGUGGGACGCAGCGGUCUCGCAUUGCGUUUGUACUGCUGCAGCCCUCCUUCUUGCCGGGGGCGGCCUCUCGGACUUCACUGUCUGGGGGUCAGAAUCGGCGAUGUUACUUUGAGUAAAUUAGAGUGUUCAAAGCAAGCUUACGCUCUGAAUAUAAUAGCAUGGGAUAACACGACAGGACUCUGGCCUAUCGUGUUGGUCUAUAGGACCAGAGUAAUGAUUAAGAGGGACAGUCGGGGGCAUUCGUAUUCCGUUGUCAGAGGUGAAAUUCUCGGAUUUACGGAAGACGAACAUCUGCGAAAGCAUUUGCCAAGGAUGUUUUCAUUGA